Molecule: non-coding RNA, 2347 nt
Organism: Dermacentor andersoni
Lineage: Eukaryota; Metazoa; Arthropoda; Arachnida; Ixodida; Ixodidae
Source: RefSeq, a predicted model, not a curated record
GAUCUUUACUAUUCAAUACCGCAUGAUGAGCUAUUUCGCAGUGUGAUGACGUGCAUCGAAGAAAGUGGCGAGGUAGAUUUUCGCAAUGUGACCGGGUUGUCUUCGGAAAGUUUCAUGUCCCUUCUUGAAUCUUAUUUAAGUGCAACUUUUAUCCGGUUCGAAAACAACCUUUUUAUCCAGAAAAAUGGUGUGUGUAUUGGUUCAUGUGUGGCGCCUGCUCUUUGUAAUAUCUUUUUAUCGUUUGUCGACCGCGCUCUUAAGAGUGCCUUAAACAAUGACUCAGUUCAAAUUUUUAGAUAUGUUGACGAUUUUCUUGUUGUGAUGAAACAGCCUAACAAUGACUGCUCCGUGACGGUAGCUGAUAUUUUAACUCUGUUCAAUGACAAUGGCAAAGGUUUAACUUUCACACAUGAGCUAUCUAGGGACGGAAAACUCCAGUUUUUAGAUUUGCAGCUUUCCUUACAAACAGGCCACGCCUGUUGGAUGUAUUCGCCACGUGCACGUAAGGAACUUUUACCUUACGCGUCUGCGCACUCAAAGACUGUGAAACGCGCCAUUGCUUUGAUGUGUUUAGAAUCUUCCUUAAUGAAAUCUUGUCAUCACUCUGCGAACAUGAGUUUCAUUGCUCAGUUAAAUAGGCUGCAGGCAGCUGGUUACCCAAGUGUGGUGGUGACGUCAGUCUCGGAGGUAUUGCUUCAGAAACUGAAAGGGAAGCGGCACAAAAGUAACCGCAUCACACAAAAGAAGAGGCCUGAAGUUGUGCCGUAUUGCCACAGAGUGGCUCACAAUCUAAAGAAUGUCGCCACUAGAUAUCAAAUUCCGGUAGUGUUUUCCGCUCCUCAGAAACUGUCAAUGUUGUGCAGCCGUAUUUCUAAAACAAAUAAAAAACCUGAUUGUGAAAAGAACCACGUGAAGUUUGUAGAUUGCAGAGUCGGUGUGGUUUAUAAGAUUCCCUUGUCAUGUGGCAAAGUGUAUGUAGGGCAGUCAGGCCGCUGUGUUAACGAGCGCCUUAGAGAACAUGAGCGAUCCAUACCAACAGGCACAGGUUCCCAUUUGGCUCAGCAUUGUAAAACAUGCAAGUGGAAACCCAUGUUUCGUGAUACCACGAUUUUGAAAAAGAGCCGUGACACCACCGCCCGAGAGUUAUCGGAAGCUUUUUUUCAUUCAGUCAUUGGGGUCACAGUGCAUUAGUGUGCCUUCCUUAACCUUGUACAGCGCUGAAUUUGGUUUUUUGGAUUCUGUCGCAUCAGUGCGCUCUUGGGAUCGGAUGUUGGUGGCUCCACCGCAUGGUGCUCACUGCGCAUGUUCCUCUGGUUUGAGCGGUCUAUAAAGGAGUGACGCAAUAAAAUGAUGUCAGUUGAGAGUAGCGCCUUGUCCUGUCGUCUUUCUUGUCUCUGUCGUUUUGCGCUAAACAAAGUAUUCAUGGAUUCGCACCAACUAGCCCGCCAACGCAUUGUGCUGAGGAGACGAUGACUUCGACGUCUUGGAUGUAGCCGUAAACAGUGUUCCGACCAGACGCGACUGGCUUGUGAAAGCUACAAUAGGUGGAAGGAACGACACAUUCAAGGUUGACAGCGGAUCCCAAGCAAACUUCGGGCCAGUUUAUCGCAAGUUAAAUGUCGGUACGCUUCAGUCAAACGGCGCGGCGCUGCGCUCGUGCAACGGCGGAAUUAUCAAGCUCUGUGGAACGUUCUCGGCACGCCUCGUCAUUGGUAACUGGCAGGGACGCCUUCAUCGAGAAUACAGAAUCGUGCUUCGCGAAGAUGGUACGCCCAUCGUCCAGCCAGCGUCUCUUCAGCAGCAGCUGCAUGCAGAAUUGGACCGGACGGAACGAGCGGGGAUCGUGCGGAAGAUGAGCAGCCCAAGAGACUGGAAAUCGACCAGCUGCGUGACCUGUCAACCAACUCGGUGACGGAGAGGCUCGGAGCGAUGUUCUCACGAUAGGCAUCCCAACAGACGUGUGCACUGACAAUGGUCCCCAAUUUCCCAGCCAAUAGUUUGCCCGUUUCGCUAAGCUGUACGACUUUCAGCACGUGUAUUCAAGUCCCCUGUUCCCGCGCUCAAACGGACUAGCAGAAAAAGGCAUGCAAGUGGUGAAAAGGAUAUUGAAAAAGUCCACCGAAGCAAGCGAAGACGUCUGACGUGGUUUGCUUAGUUACAGAGCCAGCCCCUUCGAAGAUGGAUGGUCCCCUGGCGAACUGCUUCAAGGAAGGCCUUUGCACACACCUCUACCUGACUUCACACCGCAACCAGUCGUUCGUACAACGAAGCACAAGCAAACAAACCGGAGGCAUCCUACCUUGCCCCCCCCCCCUCCCUUCAACAUAAUUGCAGAAAUUUCGCAGAA